UGAAUACGAGAUGCUACGGCGUCGAAGCAGUCUAUGUCAUACUUCCAAGAAAAGCUUGCACUGUCAUAAACAAAUAAUGCCUGUACCAUAACCGACACAGGUGGGUAGGUAGAGUAUACUAAGGGGCGCGAGAUAACUCUCUCUAAGGAACUCGGCAAAAUGACUCCGUAACUUCGGGAGAAGGAGUGCCUUAUUUAUAAGGUUGCAAUAACAAGAUCCAAGCAACUGUUUACCAAAAACACAGGUCUCCGCUAAGUCGUAAGACGAUGUAUGGGGGCUGACGCCUGCCCAGUGCCAGAAGGUUAAAGAAGUUGGUUAGCAUCCGCGAAGCUGAUAACUGAAGCCCUGGUGAACGGCGGCCGUAACAAUAACGGUCCUAAGGUAGCGAAAUUCCUUGUCGGGUAAGUUCCGACCCGCACGAAAGGCGUAAUGAUUUGGAUACUGUCUCGGAGAGGGGCUCGGUGAAAUAGACUUGUCUGUGAAGAUGCGGACUACCUGCACCAGGACAGAAAGACCCUAUGAAGCUUUACUGUAACCUGAAAUUGAAAUUGGACUUUACUUGCGCAGUAUAGGUGGGAGGCGUUGAGAAUAUUCUUGCGGGAUUAUUGGAGCCAUCAGUGAGGUACCACUCUUGUAAUGUUAGAUUUCUAACUUUGUAUCAUUAUCUGGUCAAAGAACAGUUUCAGGCGGGCAGUUUGACUGGGGCGGUCGCCUCCUAAACGGUAACGGAGGCGCACAAAGGUUUCCUCUGAACGGGUAGAAAUCGUAUCUAGAGUGUAAAGGCAUAAGGAAGCUUGACUGUGAGACCUACAAGUCGAGCAGGGACGAAAGUCGGUCUUAGUGAUCUGACGGUGCUGAGUGGAAAGGCCGUCACUCAACGGAUAAAAGUUACUCUAAGGAUAACAGGCUGAUCUCCCCCAAGAGUUCACAUCGACGGGGAGGUUUGGCACCUCGAUGUCGGCUCAUCGCAUCCUGGGGCGGUAGUACGUCCCAAGGGUUGGGCUGUUCGCCCAUGAAAGCGGUACGCGAGCUGGGUUCAGAACGUCGUGAGACAGUUCGGUCCAUAUCCGGUGUAGGCGUUAGAAUAUUGAGAGGAGCCUUCUUUAGUACGAGAGGACCGAGAAGGACAUACCUCUGGUGUACCAGUUAUCGUGCCAACGGUAAACGCUGGGUAGCUAUGUGUGGAGUGGAUAACCGCCGAAAGCAUCUAAGUGGGAAGCCCACCUCAAGAUGAGUAUUCUGGUGUAAGGUCACGGGAAGACGACCCGUAAAUAGGCACGAGGUGGAAGUGCAGAGAUGUAUGAAGCCGAAGUGUACUAAUAGACCGUCGGCUUGAC
This 1337-nucleotide ribosomal RNA is filed under the name metagenome. RNAcentral's name for it is "bacterial LSU rRNA". It matches the Rfam family "Bacterial large subunit ribosomal RNA", at positions 1564 to 2925 of the family's 2925-position model. The record is from RNAcentral.